This 1019-nucleotide long non-coding RNA is filed under the name Anas platyrhynchos platyrhynchos (common mallard). Its description in RNAcentral is "lncRNA (ENSAPLG00000019459.1)". Lineage: Eukaryota; Metazoa; Chordata; Aves; Anseriformes; Anatidae. The record is from RNAcentral.
UACCGAUAGCGACAAAUUAAUAUAAUUUACCGUUUCCGAGUACAAAACCGUGAUUUGGAGCCGCCUGCCCACCGCUCCCGGGCCAGGGGGCGCGGGGCUCCCGCGGGUGUCCCCCCCCCCGGUGCCCAGCGCGAAAAGUGCGCGGGGAGCCCCCUCCGACCGCGAUUUGGGGCCGGGGGAGGGCAGGAGCGGGGGACAGCAGCUCCGGGGGGCUCAGAGGAAGGCGGGGAAGGCGGCGGGGGGCGCGGGGGCGGCGGGGCAGGGCGAGCCCCAGGGCCCGGGGGAGGCGGCGGGGGGCGGCGGCGGCGGGGGGGGCUCGGGCAGGCUCUGCUCGGCCAGGCGCAGGCUCUGCGUGAGCGCCCAGAUGUAGUUGUGCGCGAAGCGGAGCGUCUCGAUCUUGGUGAGCUUGGCGUCGUCGGGGAAGGUGGGCAGGACGCUGCGGAGCGCGUCCAGGGCGGAGUUGAGGUGGUGCAUGCGGUUCCUCUCCCGGUCGUUGGCUUUCAUCCGCCGGCUGCGCUUCUGCUUGCCCAGCAGCCCCUCGCUGCGCGCCUUCCCGCGGCCCCUCCGCGCCUUCCCCUUCCUGCGCGCCGGGGACGCGCCCCGGCUGCCCGCACCCGCACCCGCACCCGCGGGGCCGCCGGCGGCCGGGGAGGGGGCGGCGGGGGCGGCGGCGGGGGGGCCGCCGAAAUAGGGCUGCCCUUCGCCCGGGGGGCACUGGCUCUGCGGGGCCAUCCUGCAAAGCCAAGCCCCGCGGUAAGGCUCGGGGGGAGCCGGCCCCGCGGCCCCCUCUGCGCGGCCCCGGCGGCGGCUUUACCUGCGCGCCCCGGGGGGAGGCUGCGGGGAAGGAGAGGGGCCUCGGUUCCCCUUCUCCCGUGCCGAGCCGAGCCGUGCCGAGCCGUCGAGCGCGGGCAGGACAGGUUGCGCGGCCGGCACACGACUGCCGUUAGGCCCCUAUAUAUAGGGCCGGCAGACAAUGGGGAUUUCCCGGCCGGGCAGCGUGUGCGCCCCCCCGCCCGCAC